CGGUUGAUCCUGCCGGACCCCACUGCUAUCGGGAUAGGACUAAGACAUGCUAGUCAAGCGCCUGCCAAUUGGAGGCGCGGCGCACAGCUCAGUAACUCGUGGCUAACCUGCCCCUGGGACGGGAAUACCCCCGGGAAACUGGGGCUAAUUCCCGAUAGGUGAAGACUUCUGGAAUGAGUCUUCGCCCAAAAGACGCCUAAAUCAUGCUUUUAGGCGUCGCCCCAAGGGAUGGGGCCGCGACCCGAUCCAGGUAGUUGGUGAGACGGCAACGGCUCACCCAAGCCUUUAACCGGGUGCGGGCCGUGAGAGCGGGAGCCCGGAGAUGGGCACUGAGAUAAGGGCCCAGGCCCUACGGGGCGCAGCAGUCGCGAAAACUUUGCAAUACACGAAAGUGUGACAGGGCUAUCCCGAGUGCCAUCCGCUGAGGAAGGCUUUUACCCAGUUUAGAAAGCUGGGAGAAUAAGGAGAGGGCAAGCCUGGUGUCAGCCGCCGCGGUAAUACCAGCUCUCCGAGUGGUGUGGAUGUUUAUUGGGCCUAAAGCAUCCGUAGCUGGCCAAGUUAGUCCCCUGUUAAAUCCACCGAAUUAAUCGUUGGAGUGCGGGGGAUACUGCUUGGCUAGGGGACGAGAGAGGCCGACGGUAUUUUCGGGGUAGGGGUGAAAUCCUAUAAUCCCGGGAAGACCACCAGUGGCGAAGGCUGUCGGCUAGAACGCGCCCGACGGUGAGGGAUGAAAGCUGGGGGAGCGAACCGGAUUAGAUACCCGGGUAGUCCCAGCUGUAAACGAUGCAGGCUAGGUGUUUGGGCGGCCACGGGCCGCUCUAGUGCCGCAGGGAAGCUGUUAAGCCUGCCGCCUGGGGAGUACGGCCGCAAGGCUGAAACUUAAAGGAAUUGGCGGGGGAGCAC
Molecule: ribosomal RNA, 903 nt
Filed under: uncultured archaeon
Lineage: Archaea
Description: bacterial SSU rRNA
Rfam family: Archaeal small subunit ribosomal RNA
Source: RNAcentral